Molecule: ribosomal RNA, 139 nt
Filed under: uncultured Bifidobacterium sp.
Lineage: Bacteria; Bacillati; Actinomycetota; Actinomycetes; Bifidobacteriales; Bifidobacteriaceae
Description: partial 16S ribosomal RNA
Rfam family: Bacterial small subunit ribosomal RNA
Source: RNAcentral
UUACGGGAGGCAGCAGUGGGGAAUAUUGCACAAUGGGCGAAAGCCUGAUGCAGCGACGCCGCGUGCGGGAUGAAGGCCUUCGGGUNGUAAACCGCUUUGAUGGGAGCAAGCGAGAGUGAGNACCUUCGAAAAGCCCCGC